Molecule: unclassified non-coding RNA, 263 nt
Filed under: plant metagenome
Description: partial contains small subunit ribosomal RNA, internal transcribed spacer 1, and 5.8S ribosomal RNA
Source: RNAcentral
UUUCCGUAGGUGAACCUGCGGAAGGAUCAUUAUUGUAUAACCGAGGUGCGAGGGCUUUCGCUGACCCGACAGGUCGUGCACGCCCGAGUGCCCUCACACACAUCCAUCUCACCCCUAUGUGCACCACCGCGUGGGUCCCCCUUUGGCUUGUUCGGAGGGGGGCUUACGUUUUCCCACAAACUUUGUAUGCAGUGUAGAAUGUAUUUUUUGUUUUUGCGAUCACGCAAUAAAUACAACUUUCAACAACGGAUCUCUUGGCUCUC